GACGAACGCUGGCGGCGCGCCUAACACAUGCAAGUCGAGCGGAGAUACUUGAAGGAAGUUUUCGGAUGGAAUUUGAGUAUUUUAGCGGCGGACGGGUGAGUAACGCGUGAGUGACCUGCCUUCCACAGGGGGAUAACGUACCGAAAGGUACACUAAUACCGCAUGAGACCACAGCACUGCCUGGUGAAGGGGGCAAAGGAGCAAUCCGGUGGAAGAUGGACUCGCGUCCGAUUAGAUAGUUGGUGGGGUAACGGCCUACCAAGUCAGCGAUCGGUAGCCGACCUGAGAGGGUGAUCGGCCACAUUGGAACUGAGAGACGGUCCAAACUCCUACGGGAGGCAGCAGUGGGGAAUAUUGGGCAAUGGGGGAAACCCUGACCCAGCGACGCCGCGUGAGGGAAGAAGGUUUUCGGAUUGUAAACCUCUGUUCUUGGUGAAGAGGGAAAGACGGUAGCCAAGGAGGAAGCCCCGGCUAACUACGUGCCAGCCGCCGCAGUAA
This 498-nucleotide ribosomal RNA is filed under the name uncultured bacterium. Its description in RNAcentral is "partial 16S ribosomal RNA". It matches the Rfam family "Bacterial small subunit ribosomal RNA", at positions 28 to 523 of the family's 1533-position model. The record is from RNAcentral.